Molecule: long non-coding RNA, 2100 nt
Organism: Dreissena polymorpha
Lineage: Eukaryota; Metazoa; Mollusca; Bivalvia; Myida; Dreissenidae
Exons: 4
Source: RefSeq, a predicted model, not a curated record
UUUUAACCCCAAUAUUCAGAAUUCACUUAAAGUCUUUAUAGCAUAGAACAUUCUCAGAAUGCCAAGAAAAUAUGCUUUAAAUUUGCAAAAAUAUGCUCAAAUGCAAAUGCAAAUACCUAAGAAUACAAUUCCAUUUGAUAAAUAGUUAUCUUAAACAUCAAUCAUAUACAAUGUUGAAUUUAAAUUUCACUUUGACGAUCAAUUAUUAACAGAUUUGACUUAUUGUAUGCCCCCAGUUGCUAUAUUUAUGCUAAAAUGUGUGUUCCGGUUAAUAGCAUAUUCCUGUUAUUAGCAUAAUUUUGGCUGACAUGGUAUGCUAAGAACAGGAUUCCACUGUAGCAACAUAUUAAUCAGGAAUUAUGGUUUGAAUCCGUGAACUAUUAUUUUUAAUGGUGAAAGAAAAUCUCCAUGACGCGUUUUCAAAAAUUCCUAAUCAAGCUUGGUAAAAGAGCACACAGAAUAGCAAAUUUAUUACAGCGCCAACUUACGGGUAAAAAUGAUUGAUUUUUUUUAUAUUCCGUAAAGACAAAUGCCGCAUCAUAUCCUAUGGGUGAUUUAAAAAUUAAUGAAGCCUAAAUAAAACAUGCAUUUAUUUUCUUACCAUUAAGCAUGUUUGAGUUCUUUUUCUAUCUUACAGAAGUGUUUCCAUGUGAUUAACUUAAAUGUGAAAAUUCUUCUCAAUAACUUUCUUCAUUAACAAAAUAUAUUGAAAAAUAUCCUUAAAAUUGCCCCAAGUGUACUGGUUUUGCGUGACAUUUUAUGUAAAAGGCAAUUUUCAAUUCUAUACUUCAAUAAAACUUUCAGAAAUAUUAGGUAUUGCCAUCAUUUAAUGAAUAUAAAAAUUCAUAUGCUUUAAGAAAAAUAAAACAAUGCUUCUUACUUAGGUUGAUAUCUUUUGUAGCAAGUGUUCAAAGCAAUGAUGUUCUUGUCAAUUUUGUGCCACAAUUUUCAACUCUCUUCAUGUAUAUUAAGAGAUGGGAUCAUAAAGUGCUUCAAUAUUUAUAGGCAAAAAGUGUCCUUUUAACCUGUCACAUGUUUUUUCUACACAUUUGUACAGGUAUUUAUACAAUUAUUUGUUCAUGUAAAUUUUGAACAGCUGAAUACUAAAUGUGGUCAGAAUUUGUCCCUGUCACAAGUGUACAUUUUGCAAGAAAGUUAUUUUAAAUUUUUCAUAAGAUAGAAUUUUCAAGGUUUUACAUCAUUUUCUUCAAACCAUUAAUGCUUAUCACUAGAUGUACUGAAAAUUUGAUGCCAAAACCUUGUGAACUUUUUUUGCAAGACAAAUAUUGCAUUGUACCAAGUGUACGAAUUUUUUAUCAUGUUUGAUGGACAGGUGAUAGCUUUUAAAAAAUAAACAAAGGCACUAAUUUUCUGGAAAGAAGUACACAGAAGAUGUAAUCUCCAAGAGAAAAAGGUGUUGUCUUCACUCUGGGGGUUAACUACUCUUAUUAUAUGGGUGGACUUCAAUAUGUAUGAUCUACUUAUGCUGCCACAAUGUAAAGGCAACAAUCACUGGGUUUUGCUGUUUGCAAGUGUUAUGUCCAGGACUGUAACCAUUUACGACUCGUUGGGUGGUAACAACAAGGCAUUGUUCGAUUUGUUCUGCCAGUUCAUGUGUCAACGAGCGCAAAUUGUGAACGAUGGCUUGGAAAAAAUUCAGUUCAGAGUUCAAAGCGCCACCUUGCAACAAACAGCGCCAUGGAAACAGCUGUGGAGUGUUUGCAUUGAUGACUGCCAAAUGUAUGGUCAUGAAAAAGCAUCCCACAAUGUUGCGACAGGCCCAUGAUUCAGCUUAUCAAGACUAGUCGUGAGACGCAGACUUCUGAUUCAUGGAGUGCGGCAAACAUAUCUGUGUGACUCGAUCACUCCACUGUAAAGACCCGCACGGCAUUAAAAUGGAUAUUAUCAAUAUGUGUUGUUGCUCGAAAAUAUGUUUUGUAGCAGGAAGUGCUUUGGGCUCGAUUAAUCUGAGAACUCAACAAAAUAUUAAUAAAAUCCUUCUGUGCCUUUUAGUUCUGAAAACAGAAGUAGCCAGUUGGUAUUACACAUCUCCUAAACAAGUACAGCACAAUAAAACUGAAGGUUUUAAAUCCUACAUUU